AUUGAACGCUGGCGGCAGGCCUAACACAUGCAAGUCGAGCGGAUGAAGGGAGCUUGCUCCUGGAUUCAGCGGCGGACGGGUGAGUAAUGCCUAGGAAUCUGCCUGGUAGUGGGGGAUAACGUCCGGAAACGGGCGCUAAUACCGCAUACGUCCUGAGGGAGAAAGUGGGGGAUCUUCGGACCUCACGCUAUCAGAUGAGCCUAGGUCGGAUUAGCUAGUUGGUGGGGUAAAGGCCUACCAAGGCGACGAUCCGUAACUGGUCUGAGAGGAUGAUCAGUCACACUGGAACUGAGACACGGUCCAGACUCCUACGGGAGGCAGCAGUGGGGAAUAUUGGACAAUGGGCGAAAGCCUGAUCCAGCCAGGCCGCGUGUGUGAAGAAGGUCGUCGGAUUGUAAAGCACUUUAAGUUGGGAGGAAGGGCAGUAAGUUAAUACCUUGCUGUUUUGACGUUACCAACAGAAUAAGCACCGGCUAACUUCGUGC
RNAcentral lists this ribosomal RNA (485 nucleotides) under uncultured bacterium. RNAcentral describes it as "partial 16S ribosomal RNA". It matches the Rfam family "Bacterial small subunit ribosomal RNA", at positions 30 to 508 of the family's 1533-position model. The record is from RNAcentral.